Molecule: signal recognition particle RNA, 97 nt
Filed under: Escherichia coli
Lineage: Bacteria; Pseudomonadati; Pseudomonadota; Gammaproteobacteria; Enterobacterales; Enterobacteriaceae
Also listed under: 4 other names
Description: signal recognition particle sRNA small type
Rfam family: Bacterial small signal recognition particle RNA
About the family: The signal recognition particle (SRP) is a universally conserved ribonucleoprotein involved in the co-translational targeting of proteins to membranes.
Source: RNAcentral
UGUUGGUUCUCCCGCAACGCUACUCUGUUUACCAGGUCAGGUCCGGAAGGAAGCAGCCAAGGCAGAUGACACGUGUGCCGGGAUGUAGCUGGCAGGG